GAAACCAACAGGGAUUGCCCCAGUAACGGCGAGUGAAGCGGCAACAGCUCAAAUUUGAAAUCUGGCGCAAGCCCGAGUUGUAAUUUGCAGAGGAUGCUUCAGGGCAGCGACCGGUCUAAGUUCCUUGGAACAGGACGUCGUAGAGGGUGAGAAUCCCGUAUGCGACCGGUUGGCACCCGUCACGUAGCUCCUUCGACGAGUCGAGUUGUUUGGGAAUGCAGCUCUAAAUGGGAGGUAAAUUUCUUCUAAAGCUAAAUACCGGCCAGAGACCGAUAGCGCACAAGUAGAGUGAUCGAAAGAUGAAAAGCACUUUGGAAAGAGAGUUAAAAAGCACGUGAAAUUGUUGAAAGGGAAGCGCAUGCAACCAGACUUGUCGGCGGUGUUCCGCCGGUCUUCUGACCGGUCCACUCGCCGCCGGCAGGCCAGCAUCAUCUGGGCGCGCCGGACAAAGGCGCGGGGAAUGUAGCUCCUCGGAGUGUUAUAGCCCCGCGCACAAUACGGCGCCGCUCGGGUGAGGUCCGCGCUUCGGCUAGGAUGCUGGCGUAAUGGUUGUCUGCGGCCCGUCUUGAAACACGGACCAAGGAGUCUAACAUCUAUGCGAGUGUUCGGGUGUCAAACCCCUACGCGGAAUGAAAGUGAACGGAGGUGGGAAGCGCAAGCUGCACCAUCGACCGAUCCUGAUGUCUUCGGAUGGAUUUGAGUAAGAGCAUAGCUGUUGGGACCCGAAAGAUGGUGAACUAUGCCUGAAUAGGGUGAAGCCAGAGGAAACUCUGGUGGAGGCUCGCAGCGGUUCUGACGUGCAAAUCGAUCGUCAAAUUUGGGUAUAGGGGCGAAAGACUAAUCGA
Molecule: ribosomal RNA, 845 nt
Filed under: Teratosphaeria nubilosa
Lineage: Eukaryota; Fungi; Ascomycota; Dothideomycetes; Mycosphaerellales; Teratosphaeriaceae
Description: eukaryotic LSU rRNA
Rfam family: Eukaryotic large subunit ribosomal RNA
Source: RNAcentral